RNAcentral lists this long non-coding RNA (1374 nucleotides) under Malus domestica (apple). RNAcentral describes it as "long non-coding RNA (MDOM_LNC000019)". The record is from RNAcentral. Lineage: Eukaryota; Viridiplantae; Streptophyta; Magnoliopsida; Rosales; Rosaceae.
UCCUUGAUUUUGUGCAUCAACAAGCUUGUUUUGUGCUGUUUUGAGUCAUUUGAGUUGUUUUAGUGUAUUAGAGUCUAGUUUUACAUUCUUUGAGUCUAGUUUAGUGUUCCAAACUUAGUUUUACGUUUUCAAGUCAGUUUCAAGUGUUUUAGCAAUCCUUCCUAAUCCCCGGCCUAGAUCGAUCCUUACUUACAUAUAUACUACAAUUGUCAACAAGAGGGUUUAAUUUGUGUGCUUAUGUAUUUCGCAUCAUCCUCGAUCGCCUAACUCUCCGACUCUAGAGCUGUUAUUCCAAACUGAAGAUGUCACCGAUUGCCAAUAUAGUGUUAUUAAUCCAAACUAAAGGUGUGUUGAAGAGGUUCAGGAGGUUAGUGCUUUUUCAAAGGUUUGAGAGGGUUUCGCGUAGAGCGAGAAUUUGCGAAAGGGCAUGCUUUGUGUUGAGUUGAAGAUCCUUUGAAUGUUGUAGAACCUUUUCUAUAUGUCAAGACCAUAAUUGUAUUCGGCCCGAACUCAAUAUUUUGGAUCCAUAUAGAUAGUCUCGCGCCUUGCAAAGUUCGUUCUCCUUAAUCUUAUCUCUUGAUUCAGUUGGACCUAAGCACUCUAUCACUAAAGAAUUGUCUUUGUAAAGUUAUCGUUUUCUUUUGGCAUAUGUCCUAUUGCUCUUGCUCUAGGGAUUUUGAGGGCCUCACGUCCAACCAAAACUACAACUCGACUCCUGAGCUUGAAAGAAGCACGAAAAUAACAUCCACAACCUCGAUUUGUGAGAGAUGACGAGAGUUGAAGGCUUGUUCAUACAAUUGUACCGGCGAAUGGAAAAAUUCAAGGAGGAGAGAGAGAGAGUCAACGCGAGAGUGAGGGUGUGUGUGGUCCAGCUUUGGGCUACCAAACAAAAACAAAUAAAACUAAAAUCUAAUUGGGUCCAAAAAGUUAGGAAAAACAUGUCAUGGUCCAAAUCCUUAGCCUGUUUACACACACACACAACCACUAAAUGCUCAAGGGCAUAACUGUCACUUCACGCUAUCAAGGAUAAAAUAAUAUACAUUCAGGACGGGCUGUCAUAGAUAGUGUUAAGAAAAUCAAUUUCUAUUAUUAUUUAAAUAUUGAUUGACUUAUUUUUUAUUAAUGACAUAUUAUUUGAUCUGUGAAUUUAAUUUACAGUUUUAAUCUUUUUAACAUUACCAUAUGAUAAUAUUAGGGAGCAACAUCGUCAUUGUCACAUGCGCCCCAAAUUUUAAAUUGCCACAAGUGCUAAAGACAUGGGUCCACACACAAGAGAUAGGGAGAAUACUCCUAGUUAACGAAUCACAUUAACACAUAAAUUGCUGUCAUUGUUAGUGUGUGUGGGGUGGAAUUAGUUUCGUAAUGAUGGACUUU